GACGAACGCUGGCGGCGUGCCUAAUACAUGCAAGUCGAGCGGACCAAAGGGAGCUUGCUCCUGGAGGUUAGCGGCGAACGGGUGAGUAACACGUGGGCAACCUGCCUGUAAGACUGGGAUAACAUCGAGAAAUCGGUGCUAAUACCGGAUAAUAAAAAGAACUGCAUGGUUCUUUUUUGAAAGAUGGUUUCGGCUAUCACUUACAGAUGGGCCCGCGGCGCAUUAGCUAGUUGGUGGGGUAACGGCUCACCAAGGCGACGAUGCGUAGCCGACCUGAGAGGGUGAUCGGCCACACAGGGACUGAGACACGGCCCAGACUCCUACGGGAGGCAGCAGUAGGGAAUCUUCCGCAAUGGACGAAAGUCUGACGGAGCAACGCCGCGUGAGUGAUGAAGGUUUUCGGAUCGUAAAACUCUGUUGUUAGGGAAGAACAAGUGCCGUUCGAAAGGGCGGCACCUUGACGGUACCUAACGAGAAAGCCACGGCUAACUACGUGCCAGCAGCCGCGGUAAAGUC
This 516-nucleotide ribosomal RNA is filed under the name uncultured bacterium. RNAcentral's name for it is "bacterial SSU rRNA". It matches the Rfam family "Bacterial small subunit ribosomal RNA", at positions 28 to 526 of the family's 1533-position model. The record is from RNAcentral.